RNAcentral lists this ribosomal RNA (1522 nucleotides) under Escherichia coli. RNAcentral's name for it is "bacterial SSU rRNA". It matches the Rfam family "Bacterial small subunit ribosomal RNA". The record is from RNAcentral. Lineage: Bacteria; Pseudomonadati; Pseudomonadota; Gammaproteobacteria; Enterobacterales; Enterobacteriaceae.
AGAGUUUGAUCAUGGCUCAGAUUGAACGCUGGCGGCAGGCCUAACACAUGCAAGUCGAACGGUAACAGGAAGCAGCUUGCUGCUUUGCUGACGAGUGGCGGACGGGUGAGUAAUGUCUGGGAAACUGCCUGAUGGAGGGGGAUAACUACUGGAAACGGUAGCUAAUACCGCAUAAUGUCGCAAGACCAAAGAGGGGGACCUUCGGGCCUCUUGCCAUCGGAUGUGCCCAGAUGGGAUUAGCUUGUUGGUGGGGUAACGGCUCACCAAGGCGACGAUCCCUAGCUGGUCUGAGAGGAUGACCAGCCACACUGGAACUGAGACACGGUCCAGACUCCUACGGGAGGCAGCAGUGGGGAAUAUUGCACAAUGGGCGCAAGCCUGAUGCAGCCAUGCCGCGUGUAUGAAGAAGGCCUUCGGGUUGUAAAGUACUUUCAGCGGGGAGGAAGGGAGUAAAGUUAAUACCUUUGCUCAUUGACGUUACCCGCAGAAGAAGCACCGGCUAACUCCGUGCCAGCAGCCGCGGUAAUACGGAGGGUGCAAGCGUUAAUCGGAAUUACUGGGCGUAAAGCGCACGCAGGCGGUUUGUUAAGUCAGAUGUGAAAUCCCCGGGCUCAACCUGGGAACUGCAUCUGAUACUGGCAAGCUUGAGUCUCGUAGAGGGGGGUAGAAUUCCAGGUGUAGCGGUGAAAUGCGUAGAGAUCUGGAGGAAUACCGGUGGCGAAGGCGGCCCCCUGGACGAAGACUGACGCUCAGGUGCGAAAGCGUGGGGAGCAAACAGGAUUAGAUACCCUGGUAGUCCACGCCGUAAACGAUGUCGACUUGGAGGUUGUGCCCUUGAGGCGUGGCUUCCGGAGCUAACGCGUUAAGUCGACCGCCUGGGGAGUACGGCCGCAAGGUUAAAACUCAAAUGAAUUGACGGGGGCCCGCACAAGCGGUGGAGCAUGUGGUUUAAUUCGAUGCAACGCGAAGAACCUUACCUGGUCUUGACAUCCACGGAAGUUUUCAGAGAUGAGAAUGUGCCUUCGGGAACCGUGAGACAGGUGCUGCAUGGCUGUCGUCAGCUCGUGUUGUGAAAUGUUGGGUUAAGUCCCGCAACGAGCGCAACCCUUAUCCUUUGUUGCCAGCGGUCCGGCCGGGAACUCAAAGGAGACUGCCAGUGAUAAACUGGAGGAAGGUGGGGAUGACGUCAAGUCAUCAUGGCCCUUACGACCAGGGCUACACACGUGCUACAAUGGCGCAUACAAAGAGAAGCGACCUCGCGAGAGCAAGCGGACCUCAUAAAGUGCGUCGUAGUCCGGAUUGGAGUCUGCAACUCGACUCCAUGAAGUCGGAAUCGCUAGUAAUCGUGGAUCAGAAUGCCACGGUGAAUACGUUCCCGGGCCUUGUACACACCGCCCGUCACACCAUGGGAGUGGGUUGCAAAAGAAGUAGGUAGCUUAACCUUCGGGAGGGCGCUUACCACUUUGUGAUUCAUGACUGGGGUGAAGUCGUAACAAGGUAACCGUAGGGGAACCUGCGGUUG